This 305-nucleotide unclassified non-coding RNA is filed under the name plant metagenome. Its description in RNAcentral is "partial contains 5.8S ribosomal RNA, internal transcribed spacer 2, and large subunit ribosomal RNA". The stretch from base 1 to 105 matches the Rfam family "5.8S ribosomal RNA", at positions 50 to 154 of the family's 154-position model. The record is from RNAcentral.
GAAAUGCGAUAAGUAAUGUGAAUUGCAGAAUUCAGUGAAUCAUCGAAUCUUUGAACGCACAUUGCGCCCGCCAGUAUUCUGGCGGGCAUGCCUGUUCGAGCGUCAUUUCAACCAUCGAGCCCCCGGCUUGUGUUGGGGACCUGCGGCUGCCCGCAGGCCCUGAAAAACAGUGGCGGGCUCGCUGUCACACCGAGCGUAGUAGCAUACAUUCUCGCUCAGGGCGUGCUGCGGGUUCCGGCCGUUAAACGACCUUCAUAACCCAAGGUUGACCUCGGAUCAGGUAGGAAGACCCGCUGAACUUAAGC